This 38-nucleotide small RNA is filed under the name Phaeomonas parva. RNAcentral's name for it is "partial transfer-messenger RNA". Lineage: Eukaryota; Pinguiophyceae; Pinguiochrysidales; Pinguiochrysidaceae. The record is from RNAcentral.
ACUGACGGCCGCGUGUUCAAUUCCCGCCGUCUCCACCA